UACGGGGGGGCAAGCGUUGUUCGGAAUUCCUGGGCGUAAAGCGUACGCAGGCGGCUUUGCAAGACAGGUGUGAAAUCCCCGGGCCUAACCUGGGAACUGCAUUUGUGACUGCAUAGCUAGAGUUUGUCAGAGGGGGGUGGAAUUCCACGUGUAGCAGUGAAAUGCGUAGAUAUGUGGGGGAACACCGAUGGCGAAGGCAGCCCCCUGGGAUGUGACUGACGCUCAUGUACGAAAGCGUGGGGAGCAAACAGG
This 252-nucleotide ribosomal RNA is filed under the name uncultured bacterium. Its description in RNAcentral is "partial 16S ribosomal RNA". It matches the Rfam family "Bacterial small subunit ribosomal RNA", at positions 524 to 776 of the family's 1533-position model. The record is from RNAcentral.